This 226-nucleotide ribosomal RNA is filed under the name uncultured bacterium. RNAcentral describes it as "partial 16S ribosomal RNA". It matches the Rfam family "Bacterial small subunit ribosomal RNA", at positions 524 to 749 of the family's 1533-position model. The record is from RNAcentral.
UACGUAGGGUGCGAGCGUUAAUCGGAAUUACUGGGCGUAAAGCGUGCGCAGGCGGUUUUGUAAGCCAGAUGUGAAAUCCCCGGGCUUAACCUGGGAAUGGCAUUUGGGACUGCAAGGCUCGAGUGCGGCAGAGGAGACUGGAAUUCCUGGUGUAGCAGUGAAAUGCGUAGAUAUCAGGAGGAACACCGAUGGCGAAGGCAGGUCUCUGGGCUGACACUGACGCUCA